UGCGGAAGAGAUAAGUGCUGAAAGCAUCUAAGCACGAAACUUGCCCCGAGAUGAGUUCUCCCUGAGACCUUGAGUCUCCUGAAGGAACGUUGAAGACGACGACGUUGAUAGGUCGGGUGUGUAAGCGCAGCGAUGCGUUGAGCUAACCGAUACUAAUGAACCGUGAGGCUUAACCUU
Molecule: ribosomal RNA, 177 nt
Filed under: Enterobacter hormaechei
Lineage: Bacteria; Pseudomonadati; Pseudomonadota; Gammaproteobacteria; Enterobacterales; Enterobacteriaceae
Description: partial 23S ribosomal RNA
Rfam family: Bacterial large subunit ribosomal RNA
Source: RNAcentral